GUGGGGAAUCUUGCGCAAUGGGCGAAAGCCUGACGCAGCCAUGCCGCGUGAAUGAUGAAGGUCUUAGGAUUGUAAAAUUCUUUCACCGGGGACGAUAAUGACGGUACCCGGAAAAGAAGCUCCGGCUAACUUCGUGCCAGCAGCCGCGGUAAUACGAAGGGAGCGAGCGUUGUUCGGAAUCACUGGGCGUAAAGAGUGCGUAGGCGGUUAUACAAGUCAGGAGUGAAAUCCCAGGGCUCAACCCUGGAAUUGCUUUUGAAACUGUAUAGCUAGAGUCCCGGAGGGGUUAAUGGAAUUCCGAGUGUAGAGGUGAAAUUCGCAGAUAUUCGGAGGAACACCAGUGGCGAAGGCGAUUAACUGGACGGGCACUGACGCUGAGGCACGAAAGCGUGGGGAUCAAACAGGAUUAGAUACCCGAGUAGUCC
RNAcentral lists this ribosomal RNA (425 nucleotides) under uncultured bacterium. RNAcentral describes it as "bacterial SSU rRNA". It matches the Rfam family "Bacterial small subunit ribosomal RNA", at positions 354 to 796 of the family's 1533-position model. The record is from RNAcentral.